GCUACMCAUGCAAGUCGAGCGGCAGCGGGAAAGUAGCUUGCUACUUUUGCCGGCGAGCGGCGGACGGGUGAGUAAUGCCUGGGGAUCUGCCCAGUCGAGGGGGAUAACUACUGGAAACGGUAGCUAAUACCGCAUACGCCCUACGGGGGAAAGCAGGGGACCUUCGGGCCUUGCGCGAUUGGAUGAACCCAGGUGGGAUUAGCUAGUUGGUGAGGUAAUGGCUCACCAAGGCGACGAUCCCUAGCUGGUCUGAGAGGAUGAUCAGCCACACUGGAACUGAGACACGGUCCAGACUCCUACGGGAGGCAGCAGUGGGGAAUAUUGCACAAUGGGGGAAACCCUGAUGCAGCCMUGCCGCGUGUGUGAAGAAGGCCUUCGGGUUGUAAAGCACUUUCAGCGAGGAGGAAAGGUUGGUAGCUAAUAACUGCCAGCUGUGAYGUUACUCGCAGAAGAAGCACCGGCUAACUCCGUGCCARCAGCCGCGGUAAUACGGAGGGUGCAMGCGUUWAUCGGAAUUKCUGGRAGMAUAWCGACGRGGGGGUUAGAUAGRUAUAUGUGAAASCCCCGGGCACAACCUAGGA
RNAcentral lists this ribosomal RNA (581 nucleotides) under Aeromonas veronii. RNAcentral's name for it is "partial 16S ribosomal RNA". The record is from RNAcentral. Lineage: Bacteria; Pseudomonadati; Pseudomonadota; Gammaproteobacteria; Aeromonadales; Aeromonadaceae.